AGCCAUCAUUUAAAGAAAGCGUAAUAGCUCACUGGUCGAGUCGGCCUGCGCGGAAGAUGUAACGGGGCUAAACCAUGCACCGAAGCUGCGGCAGCGACACUCAGGUGUUGUUGGGUAGGGGAGCGUUCUGUAAGCCUGUGAAGGUGGCCUGUGAGGGUUGCUGGAGGUAUCAGAAGUGCGAAUGCUGACAUAAGUAACGAUAAAGCGGGUGAAAAGCCCGCUCGCCGGAAGACCAAGGGUUCCUGUCCAACGUUAAUCGGGGCAGGGUGAGUCGACCCCUAAGGCGAGGCCGAAAGGCGUAGUCGAUGGGAAACAGGUUAAUAUUCCUGUACUUGGUGUUACUGCGAAGGGGGGACGGAGAAGGCUAUGUUGGCCGGGCGACGGUUGUCCCGGUUUAAGCGUGUAGGCUGGUUUUCCAGGCAAAUCCGGAAAAUCAAGGCUGAGGCGUGAUGACGAGGCACUACGGUGCUGAAGCAACAAAUGCCCUGCUUCCAGGAAAAGCCUCUAAGCAUCAGGUAACAUCAAAUCGUACCCCAAACCGACACAGG
This 548-nucleotide ribosomal RNA is filed under the name Salmonella enterica subsp. enterica serovar Anatum. RNAcentral's name for it is "partial 23S ribosomal RNA". It matches the Rfam family "Bacterial large subunit ribosomal RNA", at positions 1114 to 1663 of the family's 2925-position model. The record is from RNAcentral. Lineage: Bacteria; Pseudomonadati; Pseudomonadota; Gammaproteobacteria; Enterobacterales; Enterobacteriaceae.